GAUGAACGCUGGCGGCGUGCCUAAUACAUGCAAGUCGAGCGAACGGACGAGAAGCUUGCUUCUCUGAUGUUAGCGGCGGACGGGUGAGUAACACGUGGAUAACCUACCUAUAAGACUGGGAUAACUUCGGGAAACCGGAGCUAAUACCGGAUAAUAUUUUGAACCGCAUGGUUCAAAAGUGAAAGACGGUCUUGCUGUCACUUAUAGAUGGAUCCGCGCUGCAUUAGCUAGUUGGUAAGGUAACGGCUUACCAAGGCAACGAUGCAUAGCCGACCUGAGAGGGUGAUCGGCCACACUGGAACUGAGACACGGUCCAGACUCCUACGGGAGGCAGCAGUAGGGAAUCUUCCGCAAUGGGCGAAAGCCUGACGGAGCAACGCCGCGUGAGUGAUGAAGGUCUUCGGAUCGUAAAACUCUGUUAUUAGGGAAGAACAUAUGUGUAAGUAACUGUGCACAUCUUGACGGUACCUAAUCAGAAAGCCACGGCUAACUACGUGCCAGCAGCCGCGGUAAUACGUAGGUGGCAAGCGUUAUCCGGAAUUAUUGGGCGUAAAGCGCGCGUAGGCGGUUUUUUAAGUCUGAUGUGAAAGCCCACGGCUCAACCGUGGAGGGUCAUUGGAAACUGGAAAACUUGAGUGCAGAAGAGGAAAGUGGAAUUCCAUGUGUAGCGGUGAAAUGCGCAGAGAUAUGGAGGAACACCAGUGGCGAAGGCGACUUUCUGGUCUGUAACUGACGCUGAUGUGCGAAAGCGUGGGGAUCAAACAGGAUUAGAUACCCUGGUAGUCCACGCCGUAAACGAUGAGUGCUAAGUGUUAGGGGGUUUCCGCCCCUUAGUGCUGCAGCUAACGCAUUAAGCACUCCGCCUGGGGAGUACGACCGCAAGGUUGAAACUCAAAGGAAUUGACGGGGACCCGCACAAGCGGUGGAGCAUGUGGUUUAAUUCGAAGCAACGCGAAGAACCUUACCAAAUCUUGACAUCCUUUGACAACUCUAGAGAUAGAGCCUUCCCCUUCGGGGGGGGCAAAGUGACAGGUGGUGCAUGGUUGUCGUCAGCUCGUGUCGUGAGAUGUUGGGUUAAGUCCCGCAACGAGCGCAACCCUUAAGCUUAGUUGCCAUCAUUAAGUUGGGCACUCUAAGUUGACUGCCGGUGACAAACCGGAGGAAGGUGGGGAUGACGUCAAAUCAUCAUGCCCCUUAUGAUUUGGGCUACACACGUGCUACAAUGGACAAUACAAAGGGCAGCGAAACCGCGAGGUCAAGCAAAUCCCAUAAAGUUGUUCUCAGUUCGGAUUGUAGUCUGCAACUCGACUACAUGAAGCUGGAAUCGCUAGUAAUCGUAGAUCAGCAUGCUACGGUGAAUACGUUCCCGGGUCU
Molecule: ribosomal RNA, 1374 nt
Filed under: uncultured bacterium
Lineage: Bacteria
Description: bacterial SSU rRNA
Rfam family: Bacterial small subunit ribosomal RNA
Source: RNAcentral